This 1187-nucleotide ribosomal RNA is filed under the name Vreelandella aquamarina. Its description in RNAcentral is "bacterial SSU rRNA". It matches the Rfam family "Bacterial small subunit ribosomal RNA", at positions 115 to 1304 of the family's 1533-position model. Lineage: Bacteria; Pseudomonadati; Pseudomonadota; Gammaproteobacteria; Oceanospirillales; Halomonadaceae. The record is from RNAcentral.
GCAUACGAAUCUGCCCGAUAGUGGGGGAUAACCUGGGGAAACCCAGGCUAAUACCGCAUACGUCCUACGGGAGAAAGGGGGCUCCGGCUCCCGCUAUGGGAUGAGCCUAUGUCGGAUUAGCUAGUUGGUGAGGUAACGGCUCACCAAGGCCACGAUCCGUAGCUGGUCUGAGAGGAUGAUCAGCCACAUCGGGACUGAGACACGGCCCGAACUCCUACGGGAGGCAGCAGUGGGGAAUAUUGGACAAUGGGGGAAACCCUGAUCCAGCCAUGCCGCGUGUGUGAAGAAGGCCCUCGGGUUGUAAAGCACUUUCAGCGAGGAAGAACGCCUAGCGGUUAAUACCCGCUAGGAAAGACAUCACUCGCAGAAGAAGCACCGGCUAACUCCGUGCCAGCAGCCGCGGUAAUACGGAGGGUGCAAGCGUUAAUCGGAAUUACUGGGCGUAAAGCGCGCGUAGGUGGCUUGAUAAGCCGGUUGUGAAAGCCCCGGGCUCAACCUGGGAACGGCAUCCGGAACUGUCAAGCUAGAGUGCAGGAGAGGAAGGUAGAAUUCCCGGUGUAGCGGUGAAAUGCGUAGAGAUCGGGAGGAAUACCAGUGGCGAAGGCGGCCUUCUGGACUGACACUGACACUGAGGUGCGAAAGCGUGGGUAGCAAACAGGAUUAGAUACCCUGGUAGUCCACGCCGUAAACGAUGUCGACCAGCCGUUGGGUGCCUAGCGCACUUUGUGGCGAAGUUAACGCGAUAAGUCGACCGCCUGGGGAGUACGGCCGCAAGGUUAAAACUCAAAUGAAUUGACGGGGGCCCGCACAAGCGGUGGAGCAUGUGGUUUAAUUCGAUGCAACGCGAAGAACCUUACCUACUCUUGACAUCCUGCGAAUUUGGUAGAGAUACCUUAGUGCCUUCGGGAACGCAGAGACAGGUGCUGCAUGGCUGUCGUCAGCUCGUGUUGUGAAAUGUUGGGUUAAGUCCCGUAACGAGCGCAACCCUUGUCCUUAUUUGCCAGCGCGUAAUGGCGGGAACUCUAAGGAGACUGCCGGUGACAAACCGGAGGAAGGUGGGGACGACGUCAAGUCAUCAUGGCCCUUACGAGUAGGGCUACACACGUGCUACAAUGGUCGGUACAAAGGGUUGCCAACUCGCGAGAGUGAGCCAAUCCCGAAAAGCCGAUCUCAGUCCGGAUCGGAGU